AUCAGCGCGCAGCUCCUCACUCUUUCUGGAGGAGGGGGGGGCUGGCGGGUUGAAGUAGCAGCUCCUCGCUCAAUCUCAGAGUCACAGAAAAUAUUAUCACUAAAACUCAUCCAACAUGAAGCUUUUGCUCCCCUAAGUUGCCAAAUCUGAGUGCUUUUCGAUCUGUCAGCCAAAACAUGCAUCAGCUUCAGCCCCACAAUCCUCCAAUGAGAACUCCACUCUUUUCAUGGCUUUUCUUGAUGCCCAUGAUGUGCUUACUUUCCAUCAGCUUUAUUAUCUCUGCGGUGUCAGGCCAAUGUCUUGACAAUCAGCAAUCCUUGUUGCUCAAACUGAAGAAUAGCCUCGUAUUUGACACUGCUUUAUCCACAAAACUGGUGCACUAGAAUAAAUAUGUCGAUUGCUGUUCAUGGAAAGGUGUAUCAUGCAACGAGGGACGUGUUAUCGGUCUCGACCUGACCAAAGAAUCCAUUUCGGCUGGACUUGACAAUUCAAGCAGCCUCUUUAGGCUUCAGUAUCUCCAGAAUUUGAGUUUGGCUUAUAACAACUUUGAUAAUUCUGAGAUUCCAUCGGAGUUUGACAAGCUGUUGAAUUUGAUUUAUUUAAACCUUUCAAAUGUCGGCUUUGCAGGACAGAUUCCAAUUGCAAUUUCACGUUUGACAA
Long non-coding RNA from Alnus glutinosa, 660 nucleotides. RefSeq lists it as uncharacterized. The transcript has 3 exons. Lineage: Eukaryota; Viridiplantae; Streptophyta; Magnoliopsida; Fagales; Betulaceae. The record is from RefSeq and is a predicted model, not a curated record.